This is a long non-coding RNA of Vidua chalybeata, 876 nucleotides long. RefSeq lists it as uncharacterized. NCBI's taxonomy places the organism in Eukaryota, Metazoa, Chordata, Aves, Passeriformes, Viduidae. The record is from RefSeq and is a predicted model, not a curated record. The transcript is spliced from 3 exons.
GCCGCGGGUGGGGCGGUGUGAGGGAACAGGGCAGUGCGUGUCGGGUGCGGCUGUCCGUACACAUCUCAUUCCUUGAAUACAGAGUAUGGUUUGGUUAUUAGCACUGCAGUGGCACCUUGGUGAAAUCAAGUUCAACCAGCUCUCCAUAUUUUUUCCAGUCAAUAAAUGAUUUUUAAAAGGUCAUCAUGACAUAAUUGAAAAGCUGAAGGCUCAGGCUGGUGUGAAGACUGGGAGGCCAUGGAAAAUUUAGGAAAAACAUAGUUGUGACAGAUGACCCAAACUGACCAAAGGCAUAUUCCACACCGUACAACAUCCUUCCCUCUAUGUGAAGUGGAGGGAAGAAGAAGGAACAGAAAGACAUUUGGAUUGAUGGCACAUGUCUUCCCAAUUCACCAUUGUGCAUGAUGGACCCCUGCUGUCCUGGAGAUUGCUGAACACCUGCCUGCCUGUGGGAAGCACUGAACUAGUUUCUCCUUUUGUUUUGUUUCCAUGCAUGGCUUUUGCUUACCCUAUUAAACUGUCUUUAUCUCAGCCUGUGAGGUUUCUGGCUUUUACACUUCUGAUUCUCUCCCCAGUCCUGCUGGUGGGGGAAUGAGCGAGUAGCUGUGUAGGGUUUGGCUGCUGGCUGGGGUUAAACCAAGACACCUUAGAAGAAGAAAAGACCUGUCAUGCUGCUCCACAGAGGACGUCAUGAGAUGUCAUCAGAGACACAGAGGGCAUGUGUGCCUUAUCUUCCUUGCACAGACACACGUUUAUGGUGAGUGAGAACUGGAGAGGCCACCUCACAGACUGACACUCAUUAACAAUUCCUUUGUGCUCAUAUUUCAGUUUCCACUCCCUUAAAUUAUAAAUAAAUAUAAAUCUAGCACAAGAGAA